CGGCAACAGCUCAAAUUUGAAAUCUGCCAUCAGGCCGAAUUGUAAUUUGUAGAGGAUGCUUUGGAGAAGUACUCGGUCUAAGUUCCUUGGAACAGGACGUCAUAGAGGGUGAGAAUCCCGUAUGUGGCCUUGAUACCAUCCGUGUAAAGCUCCUUCGAC
This 159-nucleotide ribosomal RNA is filed under the name Helotiales sp. RNAcentral describes it as "partial large subunit ribosomal RNA". It matches the Rfam family "Eukaryotic large subunit ribosomal RNA", at positions 99 to 261 of the family's 3401-position model. Lineage: Eukaryota; Fungi; Ascomycota; Leotiomycetes; Helotiales. The record is from RNAcentral.